This 376-nucleotide long non-coding RNA is filed under the name Ananas comosus (pineapple). RNAcentral describes it as "long non-coding RNA (ACOM_LNC012515)". Lineage: Eukaryota; Viridiplantae; Streptophyta; Magnoliopsida; Poales; Bromeliaceae. The record is from RNAcentral.
UAGCAAUUUUUUUAAAAUAAAAAAAAAACUUCAAAUACCAUCCUGUAGUUUCAUACUUUCUCACUUUACUACAUUAUGGUUUAAAGUGUAUCACCUUCGUAUCCUGUGAUUUUAUUUUUUCUCUUUUUGUUAUCCCUUUAUUAAUUUUUUUCGUUAAAUCAGUGAUAAAGAUAAAAACAAAAGAGUACUAAAGUGAAUAUUCGAUAAACUAUAGUAGAGUGUCGGGAAUUUUUUGUACAUUAUUUAAUGAAAAGUUAACGGAAGGGGAGACGAAGAGAGAAAAAUAAAACCAUAAAGUACAAAGUUGAUACAUUUUAAAUCAUAAGAUACUAAAGUGAGAAAGUGAGAAACUGCAAGAGUGGUAUUUAAAAUUUAU